RNAcentral lists this ribosomal RNA (439 nucleotides) under uncultured bacterium. RNAcentral's name for it is "partial 16S ribosomal RNA". It matches the Rfam family "Bacterial small subunit ribosomal RNA", at positions 339 to 795 of the family's 1533-position model. The record is from RNAcentral.
CUACGGGCGGCUGCAGUAGGGAAUCUUAGACAAUGGGGGAAACCCUGAUCUAGCCAUGCCGCGUGAGUGAUGAAGGCCUUAGGGUUGUAAAGCUCUUUCGCUGGGGAAGAUAAUGACGGUACCCAGUAAAGAAACCCCGGCUAACUCCGUGCCAGCAGCCGCGGUAAUACGGAGGGGGUUAGCGUUGUUCGGAAUUACUGGGCGUAAAGCGCGCGUAGGCGGGCUAUUAAGUCAGGGGUGAAAUCCCGGGGCUCAACCCCGGAACUGCCUUUGAUACUGGUAGUCUUGAGUUCGAGAGAGGUGAGUUGAAUUCCGAGUGUAGAGGUGUAAUUCGUAGAUAUUCGGAGGAACAUCAGUGGCGAAGGCGACUCACUGGCUCGAUACUGACGCUGAGGUGCGAAAGUGUGGGGAGCAAACAGGAUUAGAUACCCCCGUAGUC